GGGGCCCAGCACUGCCUGCCCAGCUGCAGGAUGGGACUGAGAGAUGGGGAUGAGGCUAAGCAAAGGCAGGGGUCAGGAAGGACGACUCCAGCAGGACUCGCCAGACGGAAGGAAGCCUGCGUGCCUGGAACGGGAGGGUAGGCAGCAGUGGUGGGAGGGAGAGGAGUCCCAGGGCUCACGGAAACUAGAAUGCCCCAUUUUCCCCUCAAAGGGGCACUGCCCCGGGGCCUGCACCAGCCAGAUGACCCAGAGGAGUGGUUUAUUUAUUCCACAGGCAGGUUAGAGCUGGAGGGAGGAGAAACCCACUGAGUCAGCCCAUACCCUGAAGGUUGAGACCCCCUCCUGUGCCAGGUAUCUGGACGGCAAGGACAGCCUGCCCUCGCUCUCCGGUGGCUCGCAGGCUUGUGGGGGGCAGCUGGGUCCACAGGGAGCCAGCGGUGGGAGGCUGGAAGCCUGGGCACUGUGUGUCCCCAUAGGAGCCCCAGCACCGCCUGGAGGAUGUCAGGGAUGCGUUCCAGGAGGAGUCAGCCACCCAGCCGAGACACAGAGCCAGGGCACCCCCAGUGCCAGCCCGGCCCACCGGGGACUUUUCCCACGAAGCUGAAUCUGGCUGAGCACCACGCCGCUGUGGCCACCGCCUCCUCUUCCUCUUCCUGUCCUCCCUUCCCUCACCCCGUGCACCCCCCACAACGGUACCCACCCACCUUUGGGCCUGGGGCCACACCUCACGCACUCUCUCAGAGGGGAGCCUGCAGAGCCACUAUCUCCCGGCUCCAUCUCUCCUCUAGUGCCCCAAGGCCUCUGGGAGUCUCUCGCCCACCACCUCCUUGCUUUCUUGGGCACUAGGAGUCGUCACAGCUCUCCUGUCUGUGGGGUCUCAGAGACCUGUGUGGAACUGCCCUGGGCCCACUGUGGAGAUGCCUAAAGCUCUUCUUCUUGGGGUCCUGCUGCUCUUGUUAAGUGGGCUUGUGAUACCCUACCUUGUUUUAGCCUGAAUUGACUCUCCCUUUGCUAAGAGAGCCAGACAGACUCCAUCUUGGCUCACUUCAUUUGCAGCCGUUUACCCACCCUCCUUCCUCAAGGACUUGUGCAAGCUGACUCCCAGCACAUCCAAGAAUGCAAUUAACUGAGAAGAUACUGUGGCAAGCUUUAUCCGCAGUUCCCAGGAAUUCUCCUGGUUAAUAGUACCCAGAGCCCCCGUGUUUGUGUCCGGUUGGUAACGCCCAAAGCCCCGUGUCUUUCACCUUGUGAUAGAUUUAAAGCCCCUGCACCUGGAACGGUUUGCCUUCCUGUAACCAUUUAUCCUUUUAACUUUUUGCCUGCUUUACUUCUGUAAGAUUAUUUUAACUAGACCCUGCCCCCUCCCCUUUCUAAAGCAAAGUAUAGAAGAAAAUCAAGCCCCUUCUUCGGGUCUGAGAGAAUUUUGAGCACUAACCGUCUCUCGGUCGCCGGCUAAUAAAGGACUCCUGAAU
Molecule: long non-coding RNA, 1472 nt
Filed under: Macaca fascicularis (crab-eating macaque)
Lineage: Eukaryota; Metazoa; Chordata; Mammalia; Primates; Cercopithecidae
Description: lncRNA (ENSMFAG00000047404.1)
Source: RNAcentral